Molecule: small nuclear RNA, 109 nt
Organism: Mesocricetus auratus (golden hamster)
Lineage: Eukaryota; Metazoa; Chordata; Mammalia; Rodentia; Cricetidae
Source: Ensembl
GUGUUUGCUUUGGUAACAGAUACACUAACAUUGAAUAAAAACAAUACAAAGAUUAGCAUGGCCCCUGAACAAGGAGGAUAUGCCAAUUUGUGAAAUGUGCCGUAUUUUA